AGACUUUGGCACGUAUUCAAGGCAAUUUCUACUAGAAGGGUAUGCAUUCCACCAUUCGUACUUUUGUCUCUCAGUGUCCCACUUGCCAACAAACCAAGUAUGAGACACAAAAACCAGCAGUCUCUCCGUUAGGCCUCCCCAUCAAUCGUCAUGUCAAGAGAGAAUCGUCAAACUGGGGCAAUCCUCCCUACCCAAACCUUUCUACAUUUCCAAGUCGUUCCUACUGUGUGCAACAAAAAUUGGGGCAAUCUUGUGAGCCUAACAUGCUUAAACAUUAACAACAUUUCCCUAAAUGAGGUGAACACAGAUCUUAACGUUGCCCACAAAUAAUCAUUCGAUCAUUUACUUUUCACACCCAGGACCCAUACUUUCUCGGGUUCAUGCCAAUUUGGAUUGCAAUAAGCGGUGAAGGGAAUUUGAAUUCAUGGUUGCACUCGUUUCCUCUUCAUUAAAAGACUCAUUGUCUCUGGACAUUAUUUUCAAUGAACGCAUUUCAAAUGUACAUCAAGUACGACAACGGUAUUGACAACAGAUUCCAAACAUGAAUUUUUUUUUUUAAAAAAAAACAAAAACAAAAAAAAACAAAAACCAAAGCAA
This 597-nucleotide long non-coding RNA is filed under the name Vigna radiata. Its description in RNAcentral is "long non-coding RNA (VRAD_LNC010359)". Lineage: Eukaryota; Viridiplantae; Streptophyta; Magnoliopsida; Fabales; Fabaceae. The record is from RNAcentral.